This is a long non-coding RNA of Pelodiscus sinensis (Chinese soft-shelled turtle), 390 nucleotides long. RefSeq lists it as uncharacterized. NCBI's taxonomy places the organism in Eukaryota, Metazoa, Chordata, Testudines, Trionychidae. The record is from RefSeq and is a predicted model, not a curated record.
AUACCGGGAUCCCCAGCCCAGCACCUCACCGGCCUCCAGCCUCCCUCUCUGCUCCUCUGCUCUGCAGCCCUGCUGAGACCCCAGCCCCCUCCAGCCAUGAGGAUCCUCCACCUGGUGUUUGCUGUUCUCCUGCUGGUCUCCUUGGCUGCUCCAGGCUAUGGGCAGAAGAAGGCCUGUCGUGGCAACUGCACCAAGUCCAAAUGUGCCAAAUACGAGACGCAGGUGUACGGCACCUAUAACUGCAAAUACAACUGCUGCGUCCCUCCCAAAAAGACAAAAUGAGCCCAGAGGGAUCCACCCGUCCUGGACCAGGAGCAGCCGCCGCAGCGGGUCCCCGACUCCCCACAGAAAUGUUGCUCCCUCGUCCCAUUAAAUAAGAGCAGCUCUGGC